Molecule: ribosomal RNA, 465 nt
Filed under: uncultured bacterium
Lineage: Bacteria
Description: bacterial SSU rRNA
Rfam family: Bacterial small subunit ribosomal RNA
Source: RNAcentral
CCUACGGGCGGCACCAGUGGGGAAUAUUGCACAAUGGGCGCAAGCCUGAUGCAGCCAUGCCGCGUGUAUGAAGAAGGCCUUCGGGUUGUAAAGUACUUUCAGCGGGGAGGAAGGCGAUAAGGUUAAUAACCUUGUCGAUUGACGUUACCCGCAGAAGAAGCACCGGCUAUCUCCGUGCCAGCAGCCGCGGUAAUACGGAGGGUGCAAGCGUUAAUCGGAAUUACUGGGCGUAAAGCGCACGCAGGCGGUCUGUCAAGUCGGAUGUGAAAUCCCCGGGCUCAACCUGGGAACUGCAUUCGAAACUGGCAGGCUAGAGUCUUGUAGAGGGGGGUAGAAUUCCAGGUGUAGCGGUGAAAUGCGUAGAGAUCUGGGGGAAUACCGGUGGCGAAGGCGGCCCCCUGGACAAAGACUGACGCUCAGGUGCGAAAGCGUGGGGGGCAAACAGGAUUAGAUACUCCCGUAGUC